RNAcentral lists this non-coding RNA (29 nucleotides) under Mus musculus (house mouse). Lineage: Eukaryota; Metazoa; Chordata; Mammalia; Rodentia; Muridae. The record is from RNAcentral.
UGUGUGAACUAGGGUUUUGCAUUUAGAUU